AUCGAUGAAGAACGCAGCGAAAUGCGAUAAGUAAUAUGAAUUGCAGAUAUUCGUGAAUCAUGGAAUCUUUGAACCCCCAUUGCGCCCUGUGGUAUUCCGCAGGGCAUGCCUGUUUGAGCGUCAUUUUUUUCUCAAACCCUUGGGUUUGGUAUUGAGUGAUAUUUUUAGUCAGAUUAAGCGUUUGCUUGAAAUGUAUCGGGGUGGUGGUGGAGCAGCUACCGACGAAUUACAAUUAUUAGGUUCUACCAAGUCGUUGUUCUUCAGGGGAAAACUUCCCCCAGGCUUCGCCUAACAAAUCACCAAACAAGUUGACCUCAAAUCAGGUCGAU
RNAcentral lists this ribosomal RNA (329 nucleotides) under uncultured fungus. RNAcentral describes it as "partial 18S ribosomal RNA". The stretch from base 1 to 123 matches the Rfam family "5.8S ribosomal RNA", at positions 32 to 154 of the family's 154-position model. The record is from RNAcentral. Lineage: Eukaryota; Fungi.